CUCAGGAAUGACUCACUGCUCCUCCUCUGUUCCUUCCAGACUCUUGGGGGUGUGCUAAUUUAUUGUCAGUCUGUAUCUGCAGUCAAUUAUUCCCCCCAGCUCAGCUCUCCUGUCCAGAAGGAAUUCAGGCACAUUCUGCUCAUUGCUCACCUCUCCAGAGAGGCAAACAGCGUGCCUUGGUUCCCCUGUGCAGCACCACAAACAGCUUCACAAGCACGGAGCAGGGACCACUCCUGUGCCCAGGGCUGGGGAGAGCUGCGGCUGCUGCCAAGGAAAAGUCUUUGCAACUGCUGCCAACUAAUCAGUAUGAAUUAUUUGGUUUUUGAAGUCUUUAAUUGUGCUGGAAAAAAGCCCCUAGGAGGCUUUGAUUUUUGGAAGCAAACCCAUGUGACUGAUCCGAGCGGGAUGAUAAUGGCUACAAGGAUUGGUCCAUUAAGAGCUAUUUUUAACAAUGAAGUCAGAACUGGAAUGUGAAAGUAAAGCUAAGACUAAACUACAAAAAGGUAAAACUCACAUUAUUCUUAAAGAUUAAACUGUCCUGCAGUUAUAAACUAGCUGAAGUUGUUCCUGGUGCCUAUAUCCCAACCUAUAUUAUCCCAAGGUCCUAAACAUCUACAACAAAACCCCGAAUACGGACAGUGCUCCUGCACUGAAUGGUCAAGGUGUGUUGGAGUCCUUCCCAACUUUUUUUCCUGACUUUUUUUGCUUUAGUUCAUUAUUGAUUUGUGCUUCUUUGACCUACAUCUUUAAUUUUGUUCCUGUCUGUGCUUUUGUUAUCAGUUGUCUCCUUUCAUGGCUUAUUCAUCCUCAAGUGUUUUUGGUAACUCCCUGCCUAGUUUCAGCUGUACAGGAUGAUGUUCUGCAUCCAUCUCUCCAUGUGCAACAGGGAGCAGAGCGUGGAUCCUUGAGGUACCCAGUAAACAAAAACCAGAAAUAGAAUCCCAGACUGGUUUGGGUUGGGAGUGAUCUUCAAUCUCAUCCAGUGCCACCCCCUGCCAUGGGGGGACACCUUCCACCAUCC
This 1021-nucleotide long non-coding RNA is filed under the name Taeniopygia guttata (zebra finch). RNAcentral describes it as "lncRNA (ENSTGUG00000025705.1)". The record is from RNAcentral. Lineage: Eukaryota; Metazoa; Chordata; Aves; Passeriformes; Estrildidae.